AUGCCGCCUCCCCGCCCGAGCGCUCGCGUCCAGGAGGAGAACCUACUCGUGCGCCUGGCGGCUCGGUGCGCGUCCGGGCGCCAGCUCGAUCAGCUCCACGCCCGCGCCGUGCUCCUCGGCCACACCCGCAACAGCUUCGUCGCCGCCAAGCUCGUCCGCGCCUUCGCCGACCUCGGCCACCUCGGUCGCGCGCGCGCGGUGGCCACGGCGCUCGGCCCCGCCGCCAACGCCUUCGUGUGGACAGCGCUGGUGCGAGCGCACUCCCAGUCGGAUGCCGCCGCGCACGAUGCCGUGGCGCUCUACGCCCAGAUGCAUCACGGUUGCCCGGGGAUCAAGCCGCUCACCUUCACCGUUUCCUCCGUGCUGAAGGCGGCGGCUCGCCGCAAGAUGCUGCAGGAAGGCGAGCAAGUUCACGUGCACGUGUUCAAGAAUGGAUUCCAAACCGACGAACGCAUCGCGACGACGUUGGUGGAUUUCUAUGCGAAGUGCAGCAGGCUGGAUGACGCCCGCAGGGUGUUCGACAGAUUGUCCGUUAAGGAUGCUCAGCUGUAUAACACUAUGAUUGCUGCACAUAUGGAGGUAGGUGAGGUGGAGCGUGCAGAGGAGCUCUUCGAGGCGAUGCCGGAGAGGAACGCAUACACACUUGUGGAGAUGGUUUGUGGGUACUCCGCACGUGGUGAUAUGGACUCUGCAAAGCGUCUCUUUGAAAUAGCAGUGGCAAAGGGAGCAGAAAACACGGUUGUGUGUACAGCCAUGAUAUCUGGCUAUGCGAAAACUGGCAAUGCCGAUGAUGCUAGGGCCGUCUUUGAUGGAAUGAGAGUGCGGGAUGCUGCAACCUGGAAUGUGAUGAUUGGAGUGUAUUCAGGUGCUGGUCGGGCUGUAGAGGCUGUCGAUCUCUUCAAGAUUAUGCUGGAGAUUAGAGCAAGGCCAAAGGUGGAGCCAAACCACACUACAAUCUCUAUUGUUGCAGCUGCAUGUGCGCAGUGUGGGUUACCGACUCAGGCUAGUUGGAUACAGGAUUAUGUGGAUCGUCAUACGAUGUUGUUGAACAACCAUACUGUAGCUGCCCUCAUUGAUAUGCAUUCAAAGUGUGGUAAUAUAGAAAGGGCACUUGACUUGUUCUGCAGCUGGAGGCAAAGAGAUCUUAUCUGUUAUAGUUCUAUGAUCUCUGCAUUGGGCAUGCAUGGCCGUGGAAAAGAUGCAAUUGCCGUUUUUAAUGAGUUGUGUGACAAUGGCUUCGACCCCGAUGAAAUCUGUUUUGUGUCAGUCCUCAAUGCUUGCAGUCAUACAGGUCUGAUUGAUGAGGGACGCCGAUACUUCAAGACGAUGAAGGAUGACUACAACAUUAUUCCUACUGUAGAACAUUACCUGUGCGUGGUGGACUUGCUUGGUCGUGCGGGAUGCAUUGAUGAAGCUUACCAAAUGAUCACACAUGAGAUGCCAAAGGACAUUGAAUCACAUGCUGGAAUUUGGGGCCCUCUAUUAAGCGCAUGUAGGACUUACUCAAAUGUGGAGAUUGGGGAGGUGGCAGCAAGUCACCUAUUCAAGUUGGAACCAAAUAACGUGGGGAAUUAUGUCCUGCUUUCAAAUAUAUACGCAAAUGCAAAGAAGUGGGACGGAGUCCAAAAGGUUCGAGCCCUCCUGAGGAGACAAGGAAUGAAGAAGCCGCCUGGGUGGAGCCAAGUUGAUGCUGAAGGCAGUCUUAGAGAGUUUAUCACCGGUGAGCUUGACAGUGUUCUAGAGGCGGUCUUGGAGAUACUGAAUUGGGAGCUCAAGGAUCAUGGUUACACGCCAAUCAUAGAAGAUGAAUGA
Molecule: ribosomal RNA, 1812 nt
Filed under: Triticum aestivum (bread wheat)
Lineage: Eukaryota; Viridiplantae; Streptophyta; Magnoliopsida; Poales; Poaceae
Description: partial small subunit ribosomal RNA
Source: RNAcentral